CGAUGGUUCAUUCAAAUUUCUUCCCUAUCAACUUUCGAUGUUUGGGUAUUGGCCAAACAUGGUUGCAACGGGUAACGGAGGGUUAGGGCUCGACCCCGGAGAAGGAGCCUGAGAAACGGCUACUACAUCCAAGGAAGGCAGCAGGCGCGCAAAUUACCCAAUCCCGAUACGGGGAGGUAGUGACAAUAAAUACUGAUACAGGGCUCUUUUGGGUCUUGUAAUUGGAAUGAGUACAAUUUAAAUCCCUUAACGAGGAACAAUUGGAGGGCAAGUCUGGUGCC
Molecule: ribosomal RNA, 281 nt
Filed under: Chaetoceros brevis
Lineage: Eukaryota; Bacillariophyta; Thalassiosirophyceae; Chaetocerotales; Chaetocerotaceae
Description: partial Eukaryotic small subunit ribosomal RNA
Rfam family: Eukaryotic small subunit ribosomal RNA
Source: RNAcentral